GGGCGGGUGGUGAAAUGGCAUACACGUAGGCUUCAGGAGCCUAUGACCGCAAGGUCGUGAGGGUUCAAGUCCCUCCCCGCCCA
This 83-nucleotide transfer RNA is filed under the name bacterium. RNAcentral's name for it is "tRNA-Leu". It matches the Rfam family "tRNA". Rfam says of the family: Transfer RNA (tRNA) molecules are approximately 80 nucleotides in length. RNAcentral also lists the same sequence under 1 other name. The record is from RNAcentral.